RNAcentral lists this small nuclear RNA (200 nucleotides) under Solanum tuberosum (potato). RNAcentral describes it as "snRNA U2". The stretch from base 1 to 127 matches the Rfam family "U2 spliceosomal RNA". From Rfam's summary of the family: U2 is a small nuclear RNA (snRNA) component of the spliceosome (involved in pre-mRNA splicing). Complementary binding between U2 snRNA (in an area lying towards the 5' end but 3' to hairpin I) and the branchpoint sequence (BPS) of the intron results the bulging out of an unpaired adenosine, on the BPS, which initiates a nucleophilic attack at the intronic 5' splice site, thus starting the first of two transesterification reactions that mediate splicing. The record is from RNAcentral. Lineage: Eukaryota; Viridiplantae; Streptophyta; Magnoliopsida; Solanales; Solanaceae.
AUACCUUUCUCGGGCUUUGAGUAAGAUCAAGUGUAGUGACUGUUCUUAUCAGUUUAAUAUCUGAUAUGUGAGUCAUCGGUCCACAAGAUAUUAACAAGAAUGGUCAGAUGAAUUAUAUAUACCUUUCUCGGGCUUUGAGUAAGAUCAAGUGUAGUGACUGUUCUUAUCAGUUUAAUAUCUGAUAUGUGAGUCAUCGGUCC